Populus trichocarpa (black cottonwood) is the source of this 3930-nucleotide RNA transcript. It is a transcript of the gene named casein kinase 1-like protein HD16, with no coding region annotated. The record is from RefSeq and is a predicted model, not a curated record. The transcript is spliced from 20 exons. Lineage: Eukaryota; Viridiplantae; Streptophyta; Magnoliopsida; Malpighiales; Salicaceae.
ACAUUAGCGUCUCUUACAUCAAACACGCAUAUCACGAUCUCUCCAGUCCCUUCUGUGACAAAUCCCUUCCUUUCCGUUUCCUUCCACAAAUCUCCGAAAUACAAAAUUUCUCAUCAAACCCCAAUUUUCACUUUUAUCUCUCUACAACCUUCUCUCUCUCUAUCGAAUGAUUCUAGAACCUUCAUGAAUCCCUCCUCCACCACCACCAGCUUCAUGGACCACUGCCUUCACUGCCGUCCUACAUUCGAUGCCUGAACGGCGUAGCCGAACACGCAGAAUUCUGAACUGCGUAACCAUCAGAAUCCGAACCCGGUUAAGUUCACUGUACAGACUCGUAAAAGAAGAACCGCGGAGGUUAACAACAAUAUAAAAAAGAACGCGAUCGUUGAUGAUAAGGAGAAAAUUGUGAGAUUACCUGAUACGAAGCCGUAUAGAAAGGAAAAGCAAGACGAGGAAGCCUGGGUUUUGAGAAAAGACGAAGGGAUUGCUAAUAAGAAGAUGGACGAGUAUGAUAGCGGCGGCGGACGGAGCGCCGACAAGGGAACGGGAGCGGAAGAUGAAGGAAGCACUGCUCCUCUUCCCGAGAAGGUCCAAGUUGGUGGUUCUCCAACGUACAAAAUAGAUAGAAAACUGGGUAAAGGAGGUUUUGGACAGGUUUAUGUUGGUCGAAGAAUUGGUCCCACUAAUUUUUCAAAUGAAAGAACUGGUCCUGGAGCUUUAGAGGUAGCAUUAAAAUUUGAGCAUAGAAGCAGCAAAGGAUGUAAUUAUGGACCACCUUAUGAGUGGCAAGUUUACAAUGCACUUGGGGGCAGUCAUGGUGUGCCACGAGCUCAUUACAAAGGAAGGCAGGGUGACUACUAUGUUAUGGUUAUGGAUAUGCUUGGACCUAGUCUAUGGGAUGUUUGGAAUAACAACUCACACACGAUGUCCAUUGAUAUGGUUGCUUGCAUUGCCAUUGAAGCCAUCUCUAUACUUGAAAAGAUGCAUUCUAGAGGAUAUGUCCAUGGGGAUGUGAAACCUGAAAACUUUUUACUUGGUCCACGAGGAACUCCUGAAGAAAAAAAGCUGUUUCUUGUUGACCUUGGAUUAGCAACCCGGUGGAGAGAUAGUUCAACUGGUCUUCAUGUUGAAUAUGAUCAACGCCCAGAUGUUUUUAGGGGAACUGUGCGAUAUGCCAGUGUUCAUGCUCAUCUUGGUAGAACUGGUAGCAGGAGAGAUGAUUUAGAAUCUCUUGCCUACACUCUCAUCUUUCUUCUCCGCGGUCGACUGCCUUGGCAAGGAUACCAGGGGGACAAUAAAGGGUUCCUUGUUUGCAAGAAGAAGAUGGCGACUUCUCCAGAAGCUUUGUGUUCCUUCUGCCCUCAGCCUUUUAGACAGUUUGUUGAGCAUGUUGUAAAUCUGAAGUUUGAUGAAGAGCCAAAUUAUGCAAAAUAUAUCUCCCUUUUUGAUGGAAUUGUUGGUCCAAAUCCAGACAUAAGACCUAUUAACACUGACGGUGCUCAGAAGCUUAUAUAUCAGGUUGGGAAUAAGAGAGGGCGGCUGACAAUGGAGGAAGAAGAAGAUGAACAACCAAAGAAAAAGCUCAGGAUGGGGAUGCCUGCAACACAGUGGAUUAGUGUUUAUAAUGCUCGUCGGCCUAUGAAACAAAGAUAUCACUAUAACGUGGCUGAUGUGAGGCUCUCCCAACACAUAGAGAAGGGUAAUGAAGAUGGAUUAUUUAUCAGCAGCGUGGCUUCUUGCUCAAACCUAUGGGCCUUAAUUAUGGACGCUGGCACUAAUUUCAGUGCUCAAGUUUAUGAGCUCUCUCCUUAUUUUCUCCACAAGGAAUGGAUAAUGGAACAGUGGGAGAAGAAUUAUUACAUUAGUGCAAUUGCAGGAGCUAAUAAUGGGAGUUCAUUAGUUGUGAUGUCUAAGGGUACUCAGUAUUUACAGCAGUCUUAUAAAGUAAGCGAUUCUUUUCCCUUCAAGUGGAUAAAUAAGAAAUGGAGAGAGGGUUUUUAUGUCACAGCUAUGGCCACUGCUGGAAGUAGAUGGGCGAUAGUUAUGUCUCGCGGCACAGGAUUUUCAGACCAGGUUGUGGAGCUGGAUUUUCUAUAUCCCAGUGAAGGCAUUCAUCGUAGGUGGGAUGGUGGUUACCGCAUCACUUCAACUGCAGCAACGUGUGACCAAGCUGCUUUUGUUCUCAGUGUGCCAAGAAGAAAACCAGUAGAUGAAACUCAAGAAACACUUCGUACUUCUGCUUUUCCCAGUACACACGUCAAGGAGAAAUGGGCAACAAAUCUUUAUAUUGCAUCUGUUUGUUAUGGUCGAACUGUCUCAUGAAUGACUGAAGUUUUGCUGGGGAUGCUGUUGCUGUUAUCAUGAAAAUUUAGAAGACAGUUCUCACCAUUUAUGAUCCUCCUUUGAGAAGCAAAGAUCUGCUUAAGCCAAAUUGACUCGUCAUGGCAUUUGGGAGUCAAUGUAUGCAAAACUCUACCUUAAUGUAGCCAUCACAUAGCAUCCAUUAAUACCUGUGCACUAACUUUCAAUUGGGUUGAAAUGCUUUUAGGGUGGCAUCGAUUUACCCAUUGCUAAGAAGUUUGUAUAGUUAUGAACAGUAGUUGAAGGGGCGUGCACUGGCCGUGUCUUCAUUAUUGAUGGCAUCACAGGCUAAAUUGUGAAUACUUAUGGUCAAGUUCUUCAAGGCAGGAACCAAGCAAGACUACUACUGUAAGAAUUUGUGUUACUGAAAGAUCAACUUAUCUUUUUGCUUGCGGCUUCCUGGGAUCAACAAAUAGAUGAGAAGUUCUUCAGACUUGGAACUACUUUUGAGCAUUCUUGACCAGGAAUUCUAUGGACUUUGAACCUUGUGUACAAACUGAAUGGAUAGAUGUUCCAUGUCUGAUAUGAUUAUUGAAUGCUAGGGAGAAACAAUGCCUCUUCCUCGUGUCAAUGUUAAGCAGCCCCUUUUGAUUUUCCAGAAGAACAAACAUCCAUUAUUUUUGUGAUGACUUUCAUCUCUGGUGGCACUUCUCUGGACACAUUUGUGAUCAUACUUCUCUAACCCGGACUGUCAAGGUUUUAAUUUCAACACUGACCUUAUAUGGCUCUAAAGAAUCUCCAGAAAAACAUUCAUGAUAAAAGAAUGGAUGGGUUUUACUGUGAAGUCAACCUGUUGGGAAACGAGUAGUGUUCUAAUUAAAGAGCUUGAUCACUACAUAGACCAGGGUUCUUCUGAUGUGUGGUAAACGAUUGAAAUUAGCAAGUUUGCUUCUUCCUUGAACAUUUUGCACUAUCAGUUGCAUGUGGCUAACAUAAAGCUGACAUGGGUGAUGUUUGAUGAGAUAUUACUAUCGACCCCUUUGAUGGCUGCAAAAUAUGAUGACAAAAAUAAGCUAAUAAUUAAAACCUUCAAUUUCUUGCUUGCAUUCAAGAAAUGGAAGGAAGGAAAGAUCUCCAAUAAACUGGCUCAGGCAUGUUGGAAUUGGAUGGGGUAGAGUUGGAAGUUCUUUCUAGAAACUCUUCCUGGGACCGUUCUCCAUGUAGAGUGAUUGCUGGGCUCUUAGUAUAAUGAAGAAGGAAAUUUGAUUUUAUUGUUCCCAUGGUUAUCUUCGUCUCUUCUUACCUAUUAAGUGGUUUGUGUUUAAUAGCAACUGUAAACAGAAUGCAUGAAAAUCCAUCUGUUCACGAAGGCUCAUACAGAAUGCAGUUGCUAGCGUGUUAAGUAUGAUGGAGCAUUCAGUUUCUGGACAGAGUGCACUCUGGAUGCCGGUGGGAAUUUCCAAGGCACUGAACUGGAUGCAAUGUUUGGCAAUCUUCCAUUUUACAUCAUUUAUUUAUAUGACCUGUGCAUGUUUUAUACUCGGUUCGAGCAAUGCGCUGCCAUGCACAAAUUCAGAUUUGUUUUUGGAAUAGACGUGAUAUUAAAUGUUGUUCUUCGUUUGCAUAAAA